Molecule: long non-coding RNA, 676 nt
Organism: Candoia aspera
Lineage: Eukaryota; Metazoa; Chordata; Lepidosauria; Squamata; Candoiidae
Exons: 3
Source: RefSeq, a predicted model, not a curated record
UUUAGGAAUUUGUCCUCACCCCAGAAUCCUCUGACAUCUUGAAGUCUUAAGAAUCAAUCACUUUUGGUUGGGUUCUAAAAUGCAUCUGCUAACAUCCCAGAGGACAUUUCUGUAGCAACAGCUGUUUUUUGCACUCCACUGCAGGGGCUGGUGAGAUGAGCCUAACAUCUUUGCUGUGGAGCAAGAAUUACAUGAAAUUAAUUGAGAAGCUUCCUUACUGAUGUAGACUUUGAAGAAGCAGUAUAGGAAGAGUAUUGAUGCUUUUGAACUUUGGUGUUGAAAAAGACUCCUGAGAAUACCGUGGACAGCCAAGGAAACAAACUGAUGAAUCAUCAAACAAAUCAACCCAGAUUUCUCACUCAAAGCAUAAAUGACCAGAUUCAAAUUAUCCUACUUUGGACACAUUAUGUGAAGACCUAGCCCUCUGGAGAAGGCUGUAAUGCUGGAAAGGGUGGAAGGAAAGAGAAGAAGAGGACAACCAGCAGGAAGGUUGAUGGACUCAGUUACAGUGGCAAUGAGUGUACCAUUGGAAGACCUGAAAGACUAGGUUGGGAAUAGAUUGUCAUGGAGAAAAUUUAUCUAUGUGGUCACUAAGAGCUGACAGCAACUUGAUGGCAUGUAAUCAAAUCAAUCCUUACUGAUGUAAAUGUGGCAGUAUGGAGAAUCUACUAAAUAA